GCUUUGACAUUGUCCACAUCUGUGCCAGAUGUUGAUCCCCAUCAUCCUAGCUCAUGUUCCAUAUAGCCUUGUCAUCCUCUGACCCUUGUUUCCCUGCUGUUGUUCUUUCUCCUUAUUUAUCCAUAUGGGGGUCCUUCCCAAGCCAGCGUAUUCGGGAUAGUCCUGGUGAGGUCCUAGCUUCUCUUGGAGAGAUUCAUUACAUUACACCCCCAUGGAAAUUCCACGGGAUGUUGGUUAUAUUUAUUGUGGGCUGGGUCACUCUGGUCUUCUCCAUACUUCUAUGUCUGUAGUUCUCAGACACAUGUGUUCAACCUUCAGUGCCUUGAGCUCCCUUUGGGAUGGUGAAGGCUGUAUUUCACGGCCAGGAUGUCUGCUAUGUGCAGGGCUGAGCCAUUGGUAGAGCACUUUCCCCUCUUCCCUGGUCUUAUGUUGAGAACAUAAGAUCUUCAGAUAUGGUAGGCUGGAGGUCUUGACAUAGGUGUGCCUUCUUUAUGGAACCUGCCCUGAAUAUCCUUGUUGGGAUGAGUUGGCUGAAGGUGAUUGAGUGAUUUGUCUGACUAGGAAAAUUCAUUGCUUGGUCCUCUCCUGGGAACCAUUAUCAGAGUCUCUAGUCUCCUGGCCUCCUGACAAAUUACAUGGUAGGUGCUUAUGGCAGGAGUCCUUGUCAUUAUCUUUCCUGACUGGACAGUUUUCCAUUGUGAUGCCUCCUGUAAAAGUAGAUGGGUUCCAUGUUGAAAUGGCCCCAUCUGAAAGUCUUAAUCUCACAGUCCUGGAUCAAAGUUUUGCCAGGAAGAGAAAAUAAGCUCGAUUUUAGGGAUUGCUGAUCCUGUGAGUGAUCCAGCAUACUUCAGGAAUGAAUGGAUCAGGAAUUCAACAGUGGACAUUCCAGGUCUCUUUUUCCAGUCCUCCUGAAUGCCAAUUAUUUUGAUAUGUUGAGUUCUCAAUUGAAUCUGGAUAAAAAUCUGCCAUCUAAUUAAUACAGAUAAUCUAUUUCCUUCAAUAUAUUUUCUGUAUAUAUGAUAUAGAAAAAAAUUGUUCUGUUACCUACUGCUAUUCCUGAGAACAUUUUCAUUAACCCAGUCAUUGGGAUAAUCUAUCCAAGCACAGCAGAGUCCAUAGGUAUUUGAACCACACGUUUAGGGCCAUGGAGGGGACCCUGAAGCCAAGUGCCUGGAAUCUGGUACAUCCCUCUAUAGCUCAAUGGGAGAGGCCCCUAAGGUGUGGGAUGUUUGGGUGACUGAAAUGAAUAAGUUAUGGCCCUUUAUCCUCCCCAUUUAGACUUUGUAAUUUCCUGAAGCUUCUAUAAGAGUUCUUCCAUUUGAGCUUCAGACAUAUUGAUUGCAUUAUUUAUCCUAUGUUUUUACUGUACUAUGUUUUAUACUGAAUAUUUUUGUUUUAUGACUGUAUUCUCACUUUGGCUAAUAUCAGCUCCUAUGUCUUUGAGGAUAUAAACCAUACCUAUAUUAUUUUCUUGAUCUCAGUUUAGUAAUUCCCUUUAUAGAGUAUAGGUUUAGUUUUCUUAAAGGCAGUACCUUUCGGUGACUUUGUCCUGUGAAUUCUCGUUGGUGACUCUCCUACCUGAAAGUAUAUAUUGAUGGAGAGGCUUGAUUGAGAAAUAUUCUGGUUGUCUGAGGUGAUGUCCACCUGCAUUGAAUGUCAAAGUGUACAGUACCUGGAUGUCCUCACAUGUGAUGUCUUAGUUGCUGUUCCUUCGAUUUUUCCCCAGAGGAAGCAGAGACCUAAAUGCUAGAAGGUGGGACCUGGAUGCCUCUCAUGUCUAUUCUGAAUUUGUCACCCUACCUGAGUGUAGAACUUAAUGGUGGUUCCAGUUGUUUUCAUCAGGGGCUUUUAUGAUAAUGUCUCAUCUGGUUGUAGCUCUUAUCAGUGCCAUUAGCUGGGUCAAAGUGACUUUUUUGUCACUUAUUUAGCGAUCUGUCCUUGUAUCUCAAAAUCAAAUGUCCAAGUUUGAAAGCUGUGAAGCCUAGGCUUAUUUAGGCUAUUUCAUCUUCAUCAUUAUUGGUCCCUUGUUUUUAUUUCUAUUGCUGGUGACUGGUCACCAUGAUAUUUAGACCAGUGCACUGUCAGAACGGAAAUUGAUUCUUCCUUCGCAUAGGCUGAAGGAAGUGGUAGAGUCAAAAUUAAUGCAGUGCAUAAUCACCUUUGUGUCUCUGAAAUCUCUGGCAGUGGAAGACAGGAGUGCUACUCCUCUGUGCAAAGCUGGCAUGGAGGCUGCAGGUGACAGCAGGAAGGUAAGAGCAGGGGCUCACUUCCAGACCCUCGAGUCAUCAUGAAGCCACAUCCCUAGGGAUGGUCUCCUGAAAUGCUUCUGCUGGGCAACUGAGGCUCUAUGACCUGACACAAAGAAGUCUGUGAAUGACCGUGGGAACCACCCAGAAGAAAUAGAAGAAAUGGCUGCAUCAUUCAAAGAUGAAAAAGCUUUAAUAGAUAAGAGCAGUUCUGAGGCGUCUCUGCACAGCACACAGUCCUGAUCAUCACGAUUUGGGGGGAAGUUCAGUGUUGAGGAGCCCCUUCCUGUUAGCUGUUGAGAAGACAGGGCUGGUGUUGACUGUUUCUCCAGAACUGAGCAUCUGGGGACCACAUGCCCAGGAGGAGUGAGUCUGUUGGAGCAGUGAGAUGAUAUCACUUGUGCUGCAGAAACCCCUGGGCUCAUCCAUUGGCCCAUGGGAUUUUAUCCCCUUAGACUACGUGGGAUGUGCCAUCAGAUAGAGGUUUUCUUCUUGUGUGGAGUGUGACAUAGGAUGUUCUUGUGUUUUUCCACUAUCAACAAUUCAAAGCACCAUCUUUCAGGCAGUGAGAGUUUCCUCUUUCCCUCCUUGGACAGUUGCAGGAAGACCCAUCUCACCCUGAACUGCUCAUACAAGGAGCAGUUGGCACUAGUGCUCACCGUAUUUAUCCUUGUUGUUUUGAUGGAGCUGCCCCUCCUCGCCUCUGCCUGUUCUUUAUUUUUGCAUCCUUCCUGCUCUUUGUUAUGCAAGGUCCUUAGCAUAUCUUUCUCCUCUCUGGUUAGGAACUUCCACUGAAUAGGACCUGGGGAAUUUUAAGCCUUUGGAUAUUCCUUGUUUACUGAAAGUUGUUGUUUGUUCCUAGAAUUCUCCCUUGUCUGUGGAUAUUUUGACACCUCCCCUGACACCCACUAACUUUCAUGGCAGUGUCAUAGUUUAGGAGGAGGAAAGUGCCUUUUGGGGAGGUAGUGCUGGUAGAGAGACCUGCUUUCUCCUUCCCUCAAGCUCUACUCUCCUCCACUGAUGGGGGCUUGGGCCUUACACCCCUUCUCCUAAAUCUUAGGAGACUGUCUUUGAAAGGACAAAUGUUAGGCAUGUCUGGAAGAUGAGAUGGUGGUAUGUGGCUUUUUCUCAUUUUGAUUUCUGCUUUGAAAGCCUUUUUUGCUAAUCUGUGUGCUGCCUGAUUCAGGAGAAGUUCUUACAGGUAGCUGCCCUGAGGAGGGUCCACAGAGAAGGAGCUUGUGUUCCUGUAACUUGUCUCAUGGGAGCACCUGAGUCCCUCAUGAGGCAACUUGAGUAAGACGAUUUACCUGGUUUACUUCAAUUAACUCCUGUCACAUAACUACAUACUACUGACCAUUUGGUGAGAGAAGAAAUGACAUCUGACCUUUGUGAUUAUGAGCUUUUAAAAGAGGUGGCUUCCUCUCUUCUUUCCAUUAUCCUUGUAGCUGUCUUUGAGGCUAAGCGCCAACCCCCUAGGAAUGGCAGAGCAAAAACAGAGAAAUGUUCCUUGAGCAUUGUUUCAGGUGCAUUUUCUAAAAGACGUCCACUGGGCUAGGACACCCCAGCAAAGAGGCUUCCUAUUCAUGGCCCUCAGCUACAUUUGAUGGGAGAUGUUCCUGGAGGUGGAGAAGGGUGCUUGUAACCUCCAGAUCAGGGAAACAUACAGUAGUUGUCCAUCUUGGUCCCUCCAAACACUCAUUUUCAUGUGUCUUGAGAUGGCAAUUGGUAUCUGAAAAGCAUACAAGAUGAUAUUGAAGGCAGCUUAGUGUUAGGAGGAAAGACAGCCUGAUCAGGGAGAGAGGGUUUCAGCUUGCCCAUACAGGGAAUGGAGGUUGCAUUGCCUUGUUGUCUUCCUGAAACUAAUUCGUAUUUGAAUAAUCUGUGUUAUUUUGAAAGGAAAGGUUGUAGUUUGUCCUCUGACAUGCUACCUUGUUUUUCGGCUCCCAUUGUUUCUAAUGAGGCCAUCCUGUUCUUUCAUUUGAAACUCCAUGGUCAAGUCAGGGGAGAGACUGACACUUUCUCUAUACACGAAUCUUGGCAGAGCCUAACCUAGUGGUAUGGUCUGACUGGCCCCUGCGCUGAUGCUCUAAGGGGAGUCUUUCCAAAAUGGCAUUGUUUUGACUUCUGUCCAGAAGUCUGUGUGUGGAGUAGGCGGUGAGGUGGGAAAAGUUUUUCUUAUAGUAAAACGUAAUUCCCUGAGCUCUGUUCUGUUUAGACUUAAGAAGUACACAUUGAAGAUGUUCAGAAUUGUCAUUCUUUUGAUGACAGUGCUUCAUCAAGAUUUGCUGAGCUGUAUCAGAAUACAUACUGAAGAUUGGUGCCUGCUCCUAUCAGGUGGGAUACUGGGGAAGAGAUCCUACCUGGGAUGCUUGGGCCAUCUUCCCUGGGGAAAGUAAGGUUUCACAAAGUGAUCUGUCUCAGAAAAUGAAGACCCUACAAGAUCCAGAGCACCCCAGAAACAUCUGCUGGUCAUCCUGAGGUGGAGAAUCCCAUGAUGAUUUCCAAAUUAGAGGCAUCAGCCUGGGCAGAUACCAGAAGAUGUGGGCAUAGCAGGAUCAUAGGCAUUGGAAAUUCCAGGACUCAGUGGUGAAUGUUGGAAGCAGUUCUAUAUAAGGGAACUUCCUCCUCCACCACUGAAUUGAUCUGGUUGGUCCUUUUGACGAUGGCCGUUGCUCAAUUUUUUGCCACUGCUUUCUCCAUUUGAUGCAGCAAUGCUUGAAUUACCAGCCUGUCAAGGUUGAGAGUUAAUGCCAGUUUCUCCAGGCAGCCCGACCUGGGUCUAUGGGCUGGCUGAAUACAUCUUUCAGUGCUCUACAGCUGUAAGACUGUGCAGCCCAGAUGGGCACACUUUGGCUCUGCUGACAAACACUUUUUUUGAGAAUGCAAUAGUUCAAUCACCUGGGUCACCUCUAAGUUUUUCUGCCUCAAUUUACUUUGUCAGAUAUCCUUUGAAGUCACCACCUUUCUAUACCCCACAUCUUGCCUCAUAUUAACAGGGCAAUCUUGGUAUUGCAUGCAGAAUUCUAAGAUGACACCAGGGUUUCCAUUCUGGGCUGUUAGGACCACAAUUAAAUUACCUUGUAUGGCAAGGGUGAGGGGUUUUCCAGAUGUAAUUGAGAUCCUAAAUCAGGUGAGUUUGUAUUCAAAAGGGAGAUUAUCCUGGGUGGUCCUGGUUUAAUUUAGAAGUCCUUUAAAGAGAUUUUAGUUCCUUCUGACCGAAGAGACUCCAAUAUCUACUGAGACUCGCUCUCCUUUUCUGGCUUAGACUGAGGUGACUGUCACAAGGAAAUGAGUUCUGCCAACUGAGCGAACUUGGAAGUGACAUCUUGGCUAGUUCAUCCUCUAGAUGGAAUGUAGCUCAGGUAUCACCUUCGUUUGCCUCUUGUGAGACCCAGAGGAGAUCCCGGUUAAGCUGUGCCCAGAUAUCUGAGCUACAGAAACUUUGGUAUAGUAAAGGGGCAUUGGUUUUAGCCACUACAUUGGUGGCAAUCCUGUCAUACAGCUACAGACAAAACACCUUCGCUAAAGCCUUUCUCAGCCUCACCUCCUCCAGGGUUUCCCGAGCUGUUGACGCCGUGCCGAGUCAGCUGGGUGGAGCUGCCCUCCCGUGUCUGAGCAGAACUGCACCGGGUGCCCUUGACUGGGCCUCAACCGCUACAUAGUUUUUCCUUGUCAAGUUUCCUUGUCAUAGUUUCCUUGUCAAGACCUACUCUUCCUUGUCGUCUUUCCAUUUAUCUGCUCUUCAUUCUUGAAAGUACCUUGGCGACAUCACUGUUGUCUCCUCAAAAUAGGAAAUGGAGAAAUAUACGCUUUUAGUUCCUGGUUGGUGAUUAAUUCUUGGAUCUCUCCUUUGUUGGAGAGAAGAGGAUAUGAUGACCAUUCUGCCUCCACUUCCCCCACCCUGAUCAAUAUAAGGUAGAUGAGAAGUCAAAAAAGACCCUUCAAAAAGACGUCUGUGAGGAGGCCCAUUUCCUGCUCUACAUAAGCAUAAUGUCACACAGUGAACAAAUUCAGGUUCUAUGCCUUGCCCCGGCAUCUGACUAGUACGUGGUCUUUUGUUCCCUGUGGACUUCUGCUUUGGCCUCCUGUAGUUAAGUUAUCUGCCCUGUGCUGCCUGGUCCAGGAGAAGGCUGUGGGGUAGCUGACUUGAGAAGGGCCCUGCAGACGGGCCCGUAUGCCCAUGACUUCCCUGACACGGGCCUGUGAGUCCCCAGAGUCAACUGCAUGAAGUUGAUUUCCCUGCUCUCCCCCUUAGCUAGGUCCAUAACUACAUUCUUCCUACUCUGGGGUUCUGAGGCAUAAUGGUAAGUGAUGGGACCUUCAUGACCUUGCUCCUUGACUCUACCAGUUGAGACAGAAGACUUGAGCAACUUUAUAUUUUGAAACACAAGAUGGAAAGCUAAUCCUCCCUUGGCUUAGGUAAGCAAGAUGACGUCUCCUGGUCCUGGAUAAUCCUCUGGGCCCACAUAUGAGAUCUCAGGAUUUUAAUCUUGUCCAUCUCCUGCUACAUUUCAUCAAUUACAAGUGACCCUCAUAGUUUAAAAAAUUACUCAUGACGGGUUAGUUUCUGCUACAACCAUUUUCAGAGCAUUACUCUCUAAUUGGUCUUGAGUAUUUUUUUCUCUUUAAGAUGUACAUCACGCUGACCUCAAUGACUCAUACGAUAAGAGGUUGGCACUAAUGACAAACAUUUAUUUUCCUUUCCAUUUUGAUGUGGCUGUUCUCUAUUAUUGAUAUCACCUUGGCAUUGUUACUGCUGUCUUGUGAGGUUCCCUCAAGUAGGAUAUGGAGAAUUUUGUGUGUCUAGGUUGUGGACCAUGAAGAGCUGUUUCUAGAAUUCUUCCUCAUAAGAGAGAGGUUAUGAUCACCACCCACUCAGAAUGAAAAAAAAACGUAGAUAGGACAGAGUAAAUUGUAUCUCUGCAGAAGACAGUACUGGUGAAGAGGCCUGUUUCCUCUCACAUAUGUAUCCAGCAAUCCCUACCAAACUGGACACGAGGGAUGUAUUCCUUACCCUGAAGUCCUAGCGGACUGGUUUAGAGGGAAAUCUUUAUUUAAAAACAACAACAACAACAAACCUCUGCAAGGAGGGAUGAGAGGGGUGUAGUGGAUUUCUGCUUGAGCUUCCUUUUUCUAAGCUUCCCUCUGCUGCCUGAUGGAGCGAAUGAGUGUACAUCUAGCUGACUUAUGGAGAGCCACAUGGUAAGGACGAUGAGUCCUAUAACUUACAGGGUCACGUGGGUUCCUCACGAGACAAUGUGUAUGAAGUCCCUGCUGUCCUCAGUUAGCUGAGGUCAGGUAAAUAAGGACUGAUCAUGGAGCUGAGCAAAGUGGUACCUGAUCUUCAAGACUGUUCCCUUUAAAAAGAGGUGGUUUCUCCUCCCUCUUCCAGUGUCCUCCUUACUGAUGACAGUGACUCCUUCUAUGAAUGGCAGCACAAACGCAGAGGAGUGGGUCCCGAGUGCUCCUGCUGGUGCAUUUCUAUGAGGUGUCCACUUGACUGAGACAUCCCAGCAAACAUCUGCUCUCCCAUUCAUGGCCCUGAGCUGCAUUUGAAGGGAGCAGAUGGUCCCAGAGGUAGAAGAUUGUCUUUAACCCGCAGCUCGGGCACUUAUCAUUGAAUGUGUCUGUCCCUACAGAGCACCCAUUCUGCUAUCACCUAGAAUGUGUGGUCUUCAGACACUACCCACCCAGGUGGAAUGGGAAGUGGCUCAGAGUUUGCCUGAGGGUCCUCACAUCCAGGAGUGAGGACUCCACGCUUGCCAAGAAAGGCAAGAGAGAUUUGUCUUGUUUCUUUCCUGUGAUUAAGUUUUACUGUCUCCUUUCAACUAAAAUACCCUCACUGCUGUUUUGUGCUGAAACAAGAGUCCAGAGGAUGUGUCAUAGAGCACGCCAGCCUCUACCACACUUGCCACUCAUUCCAGAAAAAUGCCAAACUUCCUGGGUACCAUUCAGCAGGAAAGGGUCAGACCAGUCCCACUGCAGCAGGGUUGUAACUAUUCCAUAGUUUGUGUCUCUGACAUUCAUCUUCUUGUGAUGGUGUCUUUUUCCUCUCAAGAAAAAUUUAUAGGCCCCUAAUCCCAUUUAGUGCCUUGUCCCAUCACUGCCUCUCAGUAAUGUCUGCCGGAAUCAUUCCUUAGAAUUCUGAUUACUGGAGAUGAAUUUGCUUUCCUUGGAAUCUGAGUGGUUUUACUUUGUCUUUCCAAAUAUAAUUCUCUUCUAUCAAGAAUAUAACACUGUGUUGUGUUAUCUAAAAUUCAAUCUGACAUGAAUGUAAUGAGUUUUGAAGAAAGAUUCUGUGGGAGAAAUCUGCAAUGUUCCUUUCCUACGUUGCAAUGGAACAGACACUGAGGCUUUAGAUCUCCAUUCCUUUAUGAAUAAUUUAAUGUCAGUUACUGCAUUUGAAUGGUACACGAUUCAUUAUAUUCCUGUCAUUUAGGGAAGAACGUGAUCUGACAAAUACUAUCUUAUUACCUUUUAGUUUGGUAAGUGAUCCUUUUCAGUUCUUAAGAUUCUAAGGACUAUCUCCUUCUCUCUUGAAUAUGAUCAAUUUAUGCUCUUUCUGUGGAGGGAAGAAUUUAAAUUUCAUCCUCUGCCAUUUAUCUUUAUUUAGUCCCAUGAUUUCUAAUGAAGCCUGGCCUGAGGGCCUGGGAAAUGCUGCCUUCUCCUCUGAAACUCCAGGACUGAAUCAGAAGCAAGAGUGAAGUGUAUAUGCAGUGAAGUCAGAAGGACAAGCAUUUCGAUGUCGAACCCCUGGUCACAGUGGUUUUGAGGCUGUGCUGAUGGACCAAGUCAAACCCUCCCAAGCUUACUUGGCUUGGACUUUCCCACUGGUGUCUACGAAGGUUUUGUGUGAACUUCUCCUGCCAAUCCCCCCGUGUCACAGCCUAAGAUGUCCUUUAAUUGUGUGCCUGAUACUUUUUUCUUGUGUGUCAGGACUGGGGUCCUUCCCUCCAUGUCAUUUGACAUGAUCCGUGUGAGGCUUCUCAACUUCUGUACACUGUGAACAAGAUUUUAGCUCUCAAUUAUCCCCAGACACAGGGUGUUGAUUACGUAGGCAGUGUGUACUGGGGGAUGGGCCACUCUGGGCUUGCCCCCAAGGCUGGCACACUGGGGUCUCAGAUCUCUGGGCUUCGUUGCACUGCCAUGCAAUCCCGCCUCCAGUGUUCACUUUCAUGCUUCUAAGUUCAGUAUCUCAAAGGGGUGGAAGCUUCAAGUGAUGGCCUCUUUGACAUGUGGGAUCCUUUUUCCACUGGGGGUGGUACUCUGAGAAUGUGGGUCCAUAGGUGUUUGAACACUAGUCAAGAACCAUGGAGGAAACGUGAACCCCAAAGCCUCAAAGUCUAUCUCUUCCUCUAUACUCUGGCGGGGUGGGGUGGGGACACUGAGAAAGGGGUGUCUGAGGGACUGAAUUGAAAAUAUUCUGUUCCUUUUCCUUACUACCCUCUAUUUUUUCCCCUGUAAUUACACAGAGAGUGGAAACAUAAGAGAUUAUUAAAACUGUGUUCUUAAUAACGCGGAAUAUAGGCAUUCUUUUCCUCUGAUGUUCAAGGGCUGGGGGCCUCAUUUCAGACUCAGGGUUCCUCCUAGAUUGGCUCAGUCAAGACUGUCAUGGAGCCAAGCCCACUGGGGUCUCCCUCACUCCAGAGGAUAUAUGUAGCCAGAUCCGAGUUUCUCCCAUAUGUACUGCAUUCGGGGCAUAAAGUUAUGUCCCCAGAGAGAUGGGCACUUUCAGCUGUGAUUCUGGUUGCUGUGGCUGUACAUCUGCAUAAGCAGUGAGUCUGCCUGGACAGUAGCCCACUGUGUGAUGUCUUUGGUUUGUGACUGUCCAGUUGGGCUGAGGGCCUAUUGUCCAGGUCCUGAAAACAGGCCAGUAAAUAUGAUCCGAUAUAUUGAGGAAUUCCCAACAGAAUCAGAUACAUCAUUGUAGAUAUAAAAGAUACUUCAGUAAUAUGGACCAAAAUACCCUGUUUCUUUUGUAACUGGUAACACAGGUUGACUCUCAUAAAAGCCAGGUGACUCCUUGCAGCCACGUGGCUGAUGGAGCAUCCUGUGGGAUCUUGAGCUGGUCACCGCUCAGCUUCCACAGAGCAGCUCUGUCCUGAGAGGCGCUUCAAGUUUCACAUUAACAUUAUCAUUCAUUCUAGUUGCCCCAGCAUGCGGGAGAAUUCCACAGCCUGGAGCCACAAACUUCUCAGCAGCCCAGUGGCAGACGUGAGUCCAUGGUGAACUGAAGGCCACUCCUGACAGGGACUGUGAUGCUGUUCCCCAACCUGCCUCUGACAUUCACCUCCCUCAGGACUGGGGAACCUAUAUGUAGAGAGACCUAAAACCAAACCCUUCUCUUAUGGUUAGAGAACAGCUGCCUUGUCAGGUUUAGAGGGGCUGGUAUGAGACUCCCACCCUUAUGUGACCGCUAAGCAGGAUCCAAGUUUGAGAGCCUAAGAAAUGUUUUCUCUUUCUUCCUUGUAGACUCCAGAGAGGAGAAGUCAUCCUCUCUGGUGCCUGGGAGCUGAUGUGUCAUCAGUGUCAAUUAUAUCAACACCAGUGCUGACCGUGAUCAACACCACCACUUCUCCUCUGGGCAGGAAGGGCUCAGUUUCCUCCACCCAAGGAGUGGGAUUCUAAGUCAAUCUCAUCACCUGGGUGUCGAAAUCCUGGGCCUGCCAGGCUUAUGGGACAAAGUGUGAGGCAGCGCUACCUUCUGCGAUGUGCAAACAACUGCUGGUCUUGCUUUCCUGGGCUUAGUCCUUUCGGGUUUGUAUUUGCUGAUGUUUUGGGGGCAGUGAUCCAGGGAGCCUUUAGAAUGGCUGUCCUGGGGGAUGAUAGACAAGGUGCAGAGCUGGUUCUCAGAAGACUUGCUGGAGAAGUUGAGAACGUGACCAGCAUCUUAGUCACUCCCCUUGGUCAUCAAGGGAGAGCACCCUUUUGGAAAAUUUUCAGGCAUUUUCAUUUCAAGGGAAUAAUUUGUGUAUGGUUAGUACAUUUCUCUGAACCCAUGGUAGAAUCCAGGAAGGAAGUCUUGAGCCCAGAGAAUACUUUGUGGGAAGAUUACAAAUAUAUAUUUAGUUCCUUUCAUAGGAAAUCUAGAUAACUUCUAUUGUUUCUGGGGUAGUUUUAGUAAUAUAAGUGUUCGGAGUCAUUUACGGCUCUACCUUUGAAGUUUAAAUUAAAUGAACACUGGUUAUAAUAUUCUUUCAAUAUGACAGGUUGAGAUACUAAGAAGACAUAUUCUUUUUGUCACUAUGUUCUUGAUCAUUGCUGCCAGGGAAAGAAUACUUAUGAAUCUUAUGUUUUGAAAUAUAAAACCUCAGUGAGUUGGUAUGGAUGCCCUUGAAUACUGUAUGCAUUUCUUACUGCUGCUGUAGCAGAUGACCACCAAGUUUCUGCUUAAAUCAGAAUUUAUUUUAGCUUUCAGUUUUGGGGGGCAGAGUUUGAAAUGGGUGUCACUUGGAUAAAAUCAGGUGUUUACAGAGUUGUUCCUUCUGGUUUUCUAGAAGACAGCUUUCCUGCCCUAUCCACCUUCUGGAGGCCUCCUGCAUUCCCUGUCUUGGGCUUUUUCUUGGUCUUCAGAGUCAGCAAUUCUUUAUCCUUUCAACGGUGACCUUGCAUCCUGAAAUCUCUUUGACUCUCACCUCCACUUCUGAAUCCCUCUUCUACUUUGUCACUUUAAUCACCCUUGUUACUACAUGGUGCCUACGUAGAUAAUCUCCUUAAUUUAAGGUCAGCUGAUUAGCAACCUUAAUUCCAUCCACCUUAAUUCCCUCUUGCCAUUUAACAAGACAUGUUCAAGAGUCUGAGGAUUUGGACAUGAACUUCUUCCGUGGUCCCUUUAACUGUCUAUUUUUUUGGUACUUGAUUUGGCAGUGAUCCCAGGGAGCUCAGGGAAGGGAGUGGUGAACCAGAGAUGAGGUGUUGGGAACAGCCCCACUGAAUUGGGUAUUGUUGAGCUGGUCACCUAUAGAGGUGAUGGGGCUCAGUCCCCCUGGGGACCAUCUGAGGAUCCAUGUGGAAUGUAUCUCAGAAUUCACUCUGCUGAGUGACAAGAGUCUGGUCAUUUAUCCACUGUCUGCCACAUUGUUUAUAGUUACCUCUGUCCUCAAAGGAACCCCUGUGGAACAAGGGGGCCAGGAAGGUGAGGGUGUGGCAUAAAGCAGCCUGUCUUUCCAGAAGGAAGGUGAACCUCCUGGAUUCCCCUUUUAGCAGAAGAGGGACAGGUUCACUUCCUGCUGAAGUAGUGCAGCCGCAUGCAUCUUCCUGUGAUGGAGACUUUUUCCCUCUCCUGGGAAGCGUGUCUUUACGCAGCCCCUAGAUCCCAUCCAGACUUAUCCCUACCUCUGCCUUCUGCAAAGCCUGCCUGUAUACGUUUUGGGUGGCAAAGAUAACAAUCAUUAACCUCAUUGUAUUUAAAGGAUGAUUGCCUCUCUGAAAAUCGCUAUUUUAUGCCAAAAAAACCCAGAUGAGAAUGGAUCAUUUCAGGACAUAAAUUAGAUGUACCUCAUAUGCCAGAUUUUCCUUACUGCAGCUUGGGUCACUCAGGUCUUCCCCCAAGGUUUGCACACCUUGAACUCUCAGAUCUCUGGCCCUUCACACUGCCCAGGAGAUCAUCCCCCAAUGCCUUCGUGGGCCAUGGUUUCAGUAUCUUAAUGUGGUGGUACCUUCAGGGUGACAGCCUUCUCUCAUCUGUGGGCUUGUUUCCAUUGGUUUUGGUUAUUCUAUCCAAAAAUAUAUUUUGGGGGGACAAGAUUAUCCCCAAACAUGUAUCAGAUGUCCACCCUGUUGAAGUGUGGUCCACCCAUAGAAUGGAGAUCUAUUCUAUUAAUUGUUCCUUUAAUUAAUCUAUUAAUAGAAUGUAAAUCAAUAUGCUAAGUGGACGGAAUGCUGUCUGCAAUGUGUCGUGUGUGCCUGCUGGACAGUACACACAGGAAGCGCAGGUCGAAUGCAGGAAGGCUGCAGCCAGACACCCCUAAGUUUUUCUUGAUGCCUUUGGCACCAUCAGCAACGUGAUUGACUCAGGCAUUGUGAAGGCAGUGCUGAUCUUGGUCAGCAGCAGCACUUUCUGCUCUAGGCAGCCAGGGCUCAGUCUGGAAACACGGAGCAGAGUUCUAUAACUGUUCCAGUCACCAUGGUGCCACCCUCUGUGAAGUAAAAGUGAGUGUCAUAUUAUACCAGUGCACUGUCAGAAUGGAAAUUGAUUCUUCCUUUGCGUAGGGUUGGCAUUUGUGCUAUGCUUGUGCCUUCCCGUCUGGUUGUGCUUGGUGAUAUGCUUCUGAGUUCCUGGAGGAUGGGUGCCAUGGGAGGAAAUAGAUAAUUUUCAGACUGUCAGGCAGACUUGCUUUGAUGGUGCAUGGUGACAAGGGUUCCAUUUCUCUGGGCCGCUCUGCUGACCCACAAGCUAGUGUGAAGCACGCUUUCACUGGCUGUCUCUGAGCAGAAUCACUCCCAUCACAUCUCUGGCAGUAAAGUUUGAGGAGCCCCCAGUGUAUUUAAAAGUCCACUUGGUCCUCAGGGAUGAGACUUAUGUGAGCCUGGGGAACUCUGUGUCCAGACCACACCUGAAGAGGGUUUUUUUUUUUUUGUCCUGGACAGGGCUCCUCUGGGGGUAUUUGAUUUGCACCAUGAAAAUAUCUGGAUUUAAAAUUGGCUCCUCAUAUCUGUUCUGAAUUUCUCUUCCUUCCUGAGAGUAUAGAAUUUAAUAAAGAGAUUGUCUUUUUUCUUAGGGGCUUUUAUGAUAAUGUCUCAUCUGGGUAUGCUCCUAUCAUUGCCAUCAACCGGUUCCAGGUGAUGUUUUUGUCAUUUAUUUGCUGACCUUUCCUUGCAUCUCAAACUUCAAUGUCCAAGGAUGGAUGCUUGUCAAGUCUAGGUUUACUCAGGCUAGUUCAUCUUCCUCAUGACUAAUCCCUAGUUCCUGGAUUCUAUUGCUGGUGACUGGUCACUGUGAUGUUUAGACCAGUGCACUGUCAGAACGGAAGUUGAUUCUUCCUUUGCAUAGGCUGAAGGAGGUGGUAGAGUCAAAAUUAAUACAAUGCAUAAUCACCUUUGUGUCUCUGAAAUCUCUGGCAGUGGAAGACAGGAGUCCUACUCCUCUGUGCAAAGCUGGCAUGGAGGCUGCAGGUGACAGCAGGAAGGUAAGAGCAGGGGCUCACUUCCAGACCCUCGAGUCAUCAUGAAGCCACAUCCCUAGGGAUGGUCUCCUGAAAUGCUUCUGCUGGGCAACUGAGGCUCUAUGACCUGACACAAAGAAGUCUGUGAAUGACCAUGGGAACCACGCAGAAGAAAUAGAAGAAAUGGCUGCAUCAUUUAAAGAUGAUAAAACUUUACAUAGAUAAGAGCAGUUUUGAGUCAUCUCUGCACAGCACACAGUCCUGAUCAUCACGAUCCGGGGGGGAGUUCAGUGUUGGGGAGCCCCUUCCUGUUAGCUAUUGAGAAGACAGGGCUGGUGUUGACUGUUUCUCCAGAACUGAGCAUCUGGGGACCAUGUGCCCAGGGGGAGUGUGUCUGUUGGAGCAGUGAGAUGAUAUCACUUGUGCUGGAGAAACCCCUGGGCCCAUCCGUUGGCCCUCAGGAUUUUAUCCCCUUAGACUACGUGGGAUGUGCCAUCAGAUAGAGGUUUUCUUCUUGUGUGGAGUGUGACAUAGGAUGUCCUUGUGUUUUCUACUUACCAACAAUUCAAAGCACCAUCUUUCAGGCAGUGAGAGUUUCCUCUUUCCCUCAUUGGACAGUUGCAGGAAGACCCAUCUCACCCUGAACUGCUCAUACAAGGAGCAGUUGGCGGUAGCGCUCCCCGAAUUUAUCCUUGUUGUUUUGAUGUAGCUGCCCUUCCUCACCUCUCCUGCUCUUUAUUUUUGCAUCCUUCCUGUUCUUUGUUAUGCAAAGUCCUUUGCAAUGUUUCUCCUCUCUGGUUAGGAAUUUCCACUGAAUAGGACCUGGGGAAUUCUAAGACUUUAGAUUGUCCUUGCUUGCUGAAAGUUGUUUGUCCCUAGAGUUCUCCCUUGUCUAUAGAUUUUUGACACCUCCCCUCCCACCAACUUACUUUCAUGGAAGUAUCAUAGCUGCUCUGAUGGAGGGGCCACAGAGGAGCUUGUAUUCCUGUAACUUAUCUUACUGGAGCACCUGAGUUCUUCAUGAGUCAACUGGGAUCAUGCCCUUUUAAAGGAAGUGGCCUCCCAUCCUGCCCCAUUAUCCUUAUUACUCACUGAAGAUGAGACUCAACCCCUGUAGGAAUGGGCAGAGCAAAAGAGGAAGAUUGUCCUUGAGGGUUCUUGCUGGUGCAUCUUCUAAGAGGUGUCCACUGGGCUGGGCCAUCGUAGCAAAGAGGUGCUUCCUAUUCACAGCCCUGAGCUACAUUUGAUGGGAGAAAAUGGUCCUGGAGGUGUGGAGUAGGGUGUUUGUAACCUACAGAGUGGAAAAACAUGUACUGUAUUAUGUCCAUGUUGGUCCUUCCAAAACACCUACUCGUGAUCACGUAUUCCAAUUGUGUGGCUUUCAGACACCAGUUGUAAGCUGGAAUUGAAGGCAGCUCAGGGUUAGGAAGAAACAGCUGUAUCUGGGAGAGACUUUUGUCUUGCCCAUACAGGGAAUGGAGGUUGCAUUGCCUAUUUGCUUGCUGGAAAACAUUGUCUUUGAACAAUUUACAAUCUUUUCAAAAUAUCAUAAUCUGUUCUCUGACAUUCCACCUUCGCCUUCAGCUCCCAUUAUAUGAAAUGACAUCAUCUUGUUUUCCCUUUUGAAAGUCCCAUGUUUGCCUCAGAAGGGAGACUGAGAUGUUUUUCCACUACUUAUUUGCAAAUCUUGGCAGAGCCUGACCUAGGGGCAUGGCCUGACUAACCCUGCGCUGAUGUUCAAAGAGGUGUCCUUCUAAAGCUUUGACUUCUGUCCACAGGUCUGUGUGUGUGUGUGGGUGGUGGUGGGGGCUGGGAAGUAGGGAUAGAUGCUCACCACCUGAGCACUUGUUGGAUAAAAUUUUGAUCUUUUGUCUACCUAAUAUUCUUGUUCAUACAUUUCAAAAGUGGAGUCCAUCCUUCUCUGCAUGUUUGGGAUGGUCCAGGAGAGUUGUCUUACUUACACAGCUACCCUGGAAGAGACGCAUGCUCCAACGUAGAGAAUUCUCAGUGAAUGUUGAUUACGUGGGCAGUAUUUUUGUGGGUCUGGGUCAAAUAGAUCUUCUUCCCAAGACAUGCACACCCAUGGCUACUGGAUCACAGGUGUUAAGCCUUCUCUGCCAUGGGAUCUCUUUGGGAUGGUAAAGAGCUAAGAUUCAGGACCCAGGAUGUCCAUGUGGUAUGGACUGACCCACUGGUAGAUCCUACCUUUGACAAAGAACGCAUUCUUCCCCCUGCCCUGAGGGCCUCAUGUUAAGCUACUAAUAUGAUUAUCUCGAGAUAUUGAUACAGGUGUGACCCCUUCAAUGGAACCAGCCCUGAUUCUGCUUGUUCAGGUAAGUGGGUAAAGGAGAAAUGAGGGAGUGUGAAGCAGGAAAAUUCUCUGCUUGAUGACGUUCUCGUGAUACUUAGGGCCAUCUAGAGGCUGGGAACCCACAGAAAUGUCACAGUAGAUAAUCUGCAUGAGUAUUGAAAGAGAAACAUGGGAAACAGGAAAUCUUAAGUUGUAUUGACUUUGGUUCUGGUGCUUUUAUUGACCUAAGCUCAACCUGAGGCAAGGUGGGAGCCAGGGAAAAAUGUCUGGUUUCUGCAGUUGAUCCCAAAUCACCUGAUGGUUGUCUGAUGGAGAAACUAGGGUGUAGAGGCAUUCUAAGAGAAGGCAAAAUGUGGGCAUUGAAUAAAGAAGGGAAAACUUUUUUCUAAUAAGAAAAGAUAAAUCCCCAGGCUCUCGUCUGUUUACAUUAAAAUCUACCCAUUAAAGUUGUUUGGGUAUGUCAUUCUGUUAACCACAGACAUUGUCGGGAUUUGCAGAGCUGGAUCAGAAGCCAUAGUGAAGAUUAGUGCUUGUUCCUCUCAGGUGUGCACUGGAGAAGAGAUCCUCCCUGGGAUGCUGGGAUCAUCUUUCCUGGGCAAGGGGUGAACGGACCCCUAAGCCUCUGGAAGUCUCUCUUCAUCGCUGGAAAAGGAAAUGGUUAACAGCCCCUCAGAUAUUCUACCAAGAAAAAGAGACUGUUAUUCUUCAAAAAUAUCAAAGGAAGGAUGAGGAACUAUUCCAGAUUAAAGAUAUGACAACAUGCAACAUGUGAUCCUGUAUUGGAUCCUGUGCUGGGAUGGGGGGUGGAGCUAUAAUAGAUAUUAAGAAAAUUGAUGGAACUUUGAGUGUGGGCUAUGAAUUAGAUAAUGUCAGUAUUAAAUUUUCUGAAUUUGAUCACUGUACUGUUAUGUAAGAGAAUGUUGCUGUUCUUGGGAAAUACAUAUGGGCAUGCUUAGGGCUAAAGGACUUUGAUGUCUCCAACUUAUUCUCCAAUAGUUUAGGAAAAAUGUGUGUGUACCCACAUGUGUUUAUAUAUGUAUGUGUGUACAUAAAUAUAUACACUUACAGAGAAAACAGUAAAAAUGUAAACAAUUUGUAAAUCUGGGUAAAAGCUAUAUGGAAUCCUUUAUACUACUGCAAUGUUUCUGCAAUUUUGAAGUUAUAUCAAAAUAAAGAGCUCUAAAAAAUUG
Non-coding RNA from Equus caballus (horse), 17851 nucleotides. The record is from RefSeq and is a predicted model, not a curated record. NCBI's taxonomy places the organism in Eukaryota, Metazoa, Chordata, Mammalia, Perissodactyla, Equidae.